This 253-nucleotide ribosomal RNA is filed under the name uncultured soil bacterium. RNAcentral describes it as "partial 16S ribosomal RNA". It matches the Rfam family "Bacterial small subunit ribosomal RNA", at positions 26 to 288 of the family's 1533-position model. The record is from RNAcentral.
AGGAUGAACGCUGGCGGCGUGCUUAACACAUGCAAGUCAAGGGGGCCCAGCAAUGGGUAACCGGCGAACGGGUGCGUAACACGUGAGCAACCUACCGAAUUGUGGGGGAUAGCCGGCCCAACGGCCGGGUAAUACCGCAUACGCUCGAGACGAGGCAUUUCGACUCGAGGAAACCUACGGGACAUUUCGAGGGGCUCGCGGCCUAUCAGCUAGUUGGUGAGGUAACGGCUCACCAAGGCGACGACGGGUAGCU